GAGUUUGAUCAUGGCUCAGAUUGAACGCUGGCGGCAUGCCUUACACAUGCAAGUCGAACGGCAGCAUGAUCUAGCUUGCUAGAUUGAUGGCGAGUGGCGAACGGGUGAGUAAUACAUCGGAACGUGCCCUGUAGUGGGGGAUAACUAGUCGAAAGAUUAGCUAAUACCGCAUACGACCUGAGGGUGAAAGUGGGGGACCGCAAGGCCUCAUGCUAUAGGAGCGGCCGAUGUCUGAUUAGCUAGUUGGUGGGGUAAAGGCCCACCAAGGCGACGAUCAGUAGCUGGUCUGAGAGGACGAUCAGCCACACUGGGACUGAGACACGGCCCAGACUCCUACGGGAGGCAGCAGUGGGGAAUUUUGGACAAUGGGCGAAAGCCUGAUCCAGCAAUGCCGCGUGUGUGAAGAAGGCC
This 411-nucleotide ribosomal RNA is filed under the name uncultured microorganism. Its description in RNAcentral is "bacterial SSU rRNA". It matches the Rfam family "Bacterial small subunit ribosomal RNA", at positions 9 to 416 of the family's 1533-position model. The record is from RNAcentral.